This is a long non-coding RNA of Pezoporus occidentalis (night parrot), 342 nucleotides long. RefSeq lists it as uncharacterized. The transcript is spliced from 3 exons. Lineage: Eukaryota; Metazoa; Chordata; Aves; Psittaciformes; Psittacidae. The record is from RefSeq and is a predicted model, not a curated record.
AGAUUCCAGAAGCCUUUCCUACCCUGGUUGAUGCAGUCCAGAAGUAGAAGGUGAAGAUCUGGUGUGAUACAUUCAAAUCUUAAAAAACAAACCAACCUGAAAAACGUCUAUACUGCAUGUAGAUUUGGAGUUCAGAUUCUAUAGACGGUAAUCAAGCAGCAGUAUUUUCUGGUUAUGUGUCGAUAGCUGUUUCUUACACUUGCAUACUUUUCCUAGCAGAAAUGAGGAUCUUGUAUGGGAACAUUUAACUAGUGCUACAGUCUUACCUUUCUGGAAAGAGAAGCUUUUGAGAAACCCCUGUUCAGCAUCAUUUUUUAUUAAUCACUUUGUAUGUUAUCUAAA